CAGCAGCCGCGGGAAUACGUAGGGUGCGAGCGUUGUCCGGAAUUACUGGGCGUAAAGAGCUCGUAGGCGGUUUGUCGCGUCGUCUGUGAAAUUCUGCAGCUUAACUGUAGGCGUGCAGGCGAUACGGGCAGACUUGAGUACUACAGGGGAGACUGGAAUUCCUGGUGUAGCGGUGAAAUGCGCAGAUAUCAGGAGGAACACCGGUGGCGAAGGCGGGUCUCUGGGUAGUAACUGACGCUGAGGAGCGAAAGCGUGGGUAGCGAACAGGAUUAGAUACCCCCGUAGUCCCUGUCUCUUAUAC
Molecule: ribosomal RNA, 301 nt
Filed under: uncultured bacterium
Lineage: Bacteria
Description: partial 16S ribosomal RNA
Rfam family: Bacterial small subunit ribosomal RNA
Source: RNAcentral